AUACGGAGGGUGCAAGCGUUAUCCGGAUUCACUGGGUUUAAAGGGUGCGUAGGCGGGUUGAUAAGUCAGUGGUGAAAGCUCCGAGCUUAACUUGGAAACUGCCAUUGAUACUGUCAGUCUUGAAUGUCGUAGAGGUAAGCGGAAUGUUGCAUGUAGCGGUGAAAUGCUUAGAUAUGUUACAGAACACCAAUUGCGAAGGCAGCUUACUAUGCGAUAAUUGACGCUGAGGCACGAAAGCGUGGGGAGCAAACAGGAUUAGAUACCCUGGUAGUCCACGCCCUAAACGAUGAUUACUCGAUGUUGGCGAUACACAGUCAGCGUCCUAGCGAAAGCGUUAAGUAAUCCACCUGGGGAGUACGCUCGCAAGAGUGAA
Molecule: ribosomal RNA, 373 nt
Filed under: uncultured bacterium
Lineage: Bacteria
Description: bacterial SSU rRNA
Rfam family: Bacterial small subunit ribosomal RNA
Source: RNAcentral